Saccostrea cuccullata (small rock oyster) is the source of this 840-nucleotide long non-coding RNA. RefSeq lists it as uncharacterized. NCBI's taxonomy places the organism in Eukaryota, Metazoa, Mollusca, Bivalvia, Ostreida, Ostreidae. The transcript has 4 exons. The record is from RefSeq and is a predicted model, not a curated record.
AUAGAGGACUUUCAUCUUUCAGCUUCCUCGGCCCCGGGAGAGUUGGGUACCUGCUCAGCGAGGGCAUUUUCUCUAUACAAGAAGAAGACGGAGACUCGCUACCCACCCGAUAUAUUUUGUCGGACAGUUUUCUGUACAUAGCAGUCACAACUGUAUCCAGGUCACAUCAAAGGAAUGACAGUUUCUCACUCCCUGGAAUUCUACUGAAUGGAGGGAGGUGUCAUUAAUUAAGAUUGUCACAGCUUCCAAGACACUGAAGUGACAGGCCUAAAAUUUUAUACAUAUUCAUUGGUAAGUAUAAAGUCUUUGAAAAUUACAAAAUUGACUAAUUCUGGGAGAGGUAAAUAUGUAAGUAUAGGAAUGAGAGUACCAAAUCCCCGGAUGAGCACAUGGCGUUGUUUGUGGCACAAUGUAGAGUCGAGUACUGAAUAGGUUGGCAUUACCUGAUUGGCUGAAAUGAGCACUAUAGAGGACUUUCAUCUUUCAGCUUCCUCGGCCCCGGGAGAGUUGGGUACCUGCUCAGCGAGGGCAUUUUCUCUAUACAAGAAGAAGACGGAGACUCGCUACCCACCCGAUAUAUUUUGUCGGACAGUUUUCUGUACAUAGCAGUCACAACUGUAUCCAGGUCACAUCAAAGGAAUGACAGUUUCUCACUCCCUGGAAUUCUACUGAAUGGAGGGAGGUGUCAUUAAUUAAGAUUGUCACAGCUUCCAAGACACUGAAGUGACAGGCCUAAAAUUUUAUACAUAUUCAUUGGUAAGUAUAAAGUCUUUGAAAAUUACAAAAUUGACUAAUUCUGGGAGAGGUAAAUAUGUAAGUAUAGGAAUGAGAGUACCAAAU